GAUCCUGGCUCAGGAUGAACGCUAGCGACAGGCUUAACACAUGCAAGUCGAGGGGCAUCAUGAGGUAGCAAUACCUUGAUGGCGACCGGCGCACGGGUGAGUAACGCGUAUGCAACCUGCCUGAUACCGGGGUAUAGCCCAUGGAAACGUGGAUUAACACCCCAUAGUACUUUAUCUGCAUGGGAGUGUGAGGUUAAAAUUAAGUUUCUAAGGUAAGUUCGGAGUGGGCGAUGCGGUCCUACUUUAAG
This 248-nucleotide ribosomal RNA is filed under the name uncultured bacterium. RNAcentral describes it as "partial 16S ribosomal RNA". It matches the Rfam family "Bacterial small subunit ribosomal RNA", at positions 15 to 248 of the family's 1533-position model. The record is from RNAcentral.